GUCUUUGCACGCGGUAUAAAAGCUGUCUGCUGAGUGAAUCAAUCUCACACGAGUUCACUUUCUCAGAAGCAGAUACCCUUGCUUUGUCCGGAACACACAAGCCAACUAGAACCUCCAACAUGGGUGACAAACCAGAUGUAAAAGUUGUCGAGACAUUCGACAAGUCAAAGUUGAAGAAGACGGACACUGACGAGAAGAACAAACUACCGACCGCAGAAACAAUUGCAGCAGAAAAGACUGCCUUAGGUAUUUAGUACCAGUAGUUGGCUAAUUAUUCCAAAAUGUUUCUACAAAUUAGUCUUUGUUUUUCAUAGUAUACGUUGGUUAAAGGGUCAGGUUUUUGUUUAACACUGUUUUGACAGGAGGCAAGUCAAUCACACUGUUUUGUUCAUCGUAUAUGCAGAGAAUGUUUUGACAUUGUUACGCCUGUUCUUGUUACUUUCCAAAGUACUUGGUAAUUCAACGAGUAGCAUGUACAAUAAACAGUGGACUACCAAUAUACCAAUGUUAUUAUAGGCACCUUGUAAUUUUCGAAUUUAAUACUGCAGUGCAAGGCAUGGGUUAUUUGGCAUUAUGGAUUUUGUAGUGGGUGUAAUGCACUAUUUUGGUGUAAUAAAGUCGGAAACCAUCUUUGAGAGACUUUGUUAGUCUUUGCAGAACCGAUGACAAGCCAGUUAGGC
Molecule: long non-coding RNA, 680 nt
Organism: Patiria miniata (bat star)
Lineage: Eukaryota; Metazoa; Echinodermata; Asteroidea; Valvatida; Asterinidae
Exons: 3
Source: RefSeq, a predicted model, not a curated record